Molecule: ribosomal RNA, 253 nt
Filed under: uncultured bacterium
Lineage: Bacteria
Description: partial 16S ribosomal RNA
Rfam family: Bacterial small subunit ribosomal RNA
Source: RNAcentral
UACAGAGGCCCCAAGCGUUACUGAGAAUCACUGGGUUUAAAGGGUGCGUAGGUGGCGCGUUAAGUCCGUUGUGAAAGCCCUGGGCUCAACCCAGGAACUGCUUCGGAUACUGGCGCGCUUGAGGCUAGUAGAGGUCACUGGAACUGACGGUGGAGCGGUGAAAUGCGUAGAUAUCGUCAGGAACGCCAAUGGUGAAGACAGGUGACUGGGCUAGUUCUGACACUGAGGCACGAAAGCGUGGGGAGCGAACGGG